UACGGAGGGUGCGAGCGUUGUUCGGAUUGACUGGGCGUAAAGGGCGUGUAGGCGGUCGGCCAAGUCUGGUGUGAAAGCCCGGGGCUCAGCUCCGGAAGUGCGCCGGAAACUAGCUGGCUGGAGCGCGGUAGAGGAGGGUGGAAUUCCUGGUGUAGCGGUGAAAUGCGUAGAUAUCAGGAGGAACACCGAUGGCGAAGGCAGGUCUCUGGGCAUUAACUGACGCUGAGGAGCGAAAGCAUGGGGAGCGAACAGG
RNAcentral lists this ribosomal RNA (253 nucleotides) under uncultured bacterium. RNAcentral describes it as "partial 16S ribosomal RNA". It matches the Rfam family "Bacterial small subunit ribosomal RNA", at positions 524 to 776 of the family's 1533-position model. The record is from RNAcentral.